CCUACGGGAGGCAGCAGUGGGGAAUAUUGGACAAUGGGCGCAAGCCUGAUCCAGCCAUGCCGCGUGAGUGAUGAAGGCCUUAGGGUUGUAAAGCUCUUUCACCGAUGAAGAUAAUGGCGGUAGUCGGAGAAGAAGCCCCGGCUAACUUCGUGCCAGCAGCCGCGGUAAU
RNAcentral lists this ribosomal RNA (169 nucleotides) under uncultured bacterium. RNAcentral describes it as "partial 16S ribosomal RNA". It matches the Rfam family "Bacterial small subunit ribosomal RNA", at positions 338 to 524 of the family's 1533-position model. The record is from RNAcentral.